Pangasianodon hypophthalmus (striped catfish) is the source of this 1018-nucleotide long non-coding RNA. RefSeq lists it as uncharacterized. NCBI's taxonomy places the organism in Eukaryota, Metazoa, Chordata, Actinopteri, Siluriformes, Pangasiidae. The transcript is spliced from 2 exons. The record is from RefSeq and is a predicted model, not a curated record.
ACUUCACUCUUGGUUUGAUGAUUGAGUCAGUAGCAUAUUUGUCCAGUACCUGCCUAAUGACGUGGAUUGCGUGUAAAUAAACUCUGCAUGUGGAUCCUCGUUCUUCUUCCGAGUCUGAGGGUUAAAGCCCAGGCUGAACGCAGCAGCAGCAGCAGCAGGAUGAUGAUGGAGGACGGGAUGGAAGUCUGAGCCGAAUCAGACGAGCCGCAGCCGGCUUCACUGUCGCAGCGAACCUUCUCGCACAGCAGGCCCGAGUAUCCCGGGGCACACUGACACCUCACGUUGUUCACACACACACCGCCGUUCUGGCAGCGAAGCAGCUCGUCAUCACACACUCGGGCUGUGACAGACAAGAGGGAGAGACGUCAAUGUCCAAACACAGGAAGCGCUCAAUAAAAUCAUCAUCAGUGUGCGCAAGCGAAGAGAGAAAAAUAGAAAAAGAAUUUUCAUGAAAGUGGAAAUCAACAGACAUUUAUAACUGAAAAAAAAAAACAACAACAAAUAAUUGAUCUGCCCAACACAGCUUACAACAUGCUCUCCUACAGGUUCUUCAAUCGUCCCUCAGGGACCUUAAAGGUUCUACAUAGAACCCUACAAGUGUUUCCUUUCCAUUUUACAAGACUAAUGUCCCUUAAUGAUCCAAUGAGUCCUUAGACACACUGCACAAAAAUGACAUCUAAGUGAAAAUAUCUAAAAUAUAUAGUCAAAGUCAUCUAGUAUUUCCUGUUAAAGGAUAAUAAAAUACAAGAAAUAUAUUAUUAAACCUAAUUCUAGACUAAUUCCAAGCUUCGAACACUCUUGAUCUGUUUAUUUCAGAUUAAAUUCAGAUUAAAAACAGGCUGAAUAUUCUUCUAUUGGAUAAAUAAUUAUAAGAAGAAGAAAUAGUAGAUAAAUCUGCUCAUAUUGAAGAUAUUUUCACUUGGAAAGAGAUUUUUAUUUUUAUUUUUUGCAGUUAAGAAGUGUGACCUGUGUAUUAUUCCUGUAUUAAUAAACCUUUUGUUUGUGCUUUCUGCUAGAA